GGUUAAGUGACUAAGCGUACACGGUGGAUGCCUGGGCAGUCAGAGGCGAUGAAGGACGUACUAACUUGCGAUAAGCGCAGAUAAGGCAGUAAGAGCCGUUUGAGUCUGCGAUUUCCGAAUGGGGAAACCCAACUGCAUAAGCAGUUACUGUUAACUGAAUACAUAGGUUAACAGAGCAAACCGGGGGAACUGAAACAUCUAAGUACCCCGAGGAGAAGAAAUCAACCGAGAUUCCGGUAGUAGCGGCGAGCGAACCUGGAUUAGCCCUUAAGCACUCGGUGAAGUAGGUGAACAAGCUGGAAAGCUUGGCGAUACAGGGUGAUAGCCCCGUAACCGACGCUUCAUCGAGCGUGAAAUCGAGUAGGGCGGGACACGUGAUAUCCUGUCUGAAUAUGGGGGGACCAUCCUCCAAGGCUAAAUACUCCUGACUGACCGAUAGUGAACCAGUACCGUGAGGGAAAGGCGAAAAGAACCCCUGUGAGGGGAGUGAAAUAGAACCUGAAACCGUGUACGUACAAGCAGUAGGAGCACCUUCGUGGUGUGACUGCGUACCUUUUGUAUAAUGGGUCAGCGACUUAUAUUCAGUGGCAAGGUUAACCGUAUAGGGGAGCCGUAGCGAAAGCGAGUCUUAACUGGGCGCUCAGUCUCUGGAUAUAGACCCGAAACCGGGUGAUCUAGCCAUGGGCAGGUUGAAGGUUGAGUAACAUCAACUGGAGGACCGAACCGACUAAUGUUGAAAAAUUAGCGGAUGACUUGUGGCUAGGGGUGAAAGGCCAAUCAAACUCGGAGAUAGCUGGUUCUCCCCGAAAGCUAUUUAGGUAGCGCCUCGGACGAAUACUACUGGGGGUAGAGCACUGUUAAGGCUAGGGGGUCAUCCCGACUUACCAACCCUUUGCAAACUCCGAAUACCAGUAAGUACUAUCCGGGAGACACACGGCGGGUGCUAACGUCCGUCGUGGAGAGGGAAACAACCCAGACCGCCAGCUAAGGUCCCAAAGUAUUGCUAAGUGGGAAACGAUGUGGGAAGGCUCAGACAGCUAGGAUGUUGGCUUAGAAGCAGCCAUCAUUUAAAGAAAGCGUAAUAGCUCACUAGUCGAGUCGGCCUGCGCGGAAGAUGUAACGGGGCUAAGCAAUACACCGAAGCUGCGGCAAUGUCUUUUAGACAUUGGGUAGGGGAGCGUUCUGUAAGCCGUUGAAGGUGAAUCGUAAGGUUUGCUGGAGGUAUCAGAAGUGCGAAUGCUGACAUGAGUAACGACAAAGGGGGUGAAAAACCUCCUCGCCGGAAGACCAAGGGUUCCUGUCCAACGUUAAUCGGGGCAGGGUGAGUCGACCCCUAAGGUGAGGCCGAAAGGCGUAAUCGAUGGGAAACGGGUUAAUAUUCCCGUACUUCUGACUAUUGCGAUGGGGGGACGGAGAAGGCUAGGUGGGCCAGGCGACGGUUGUCCUGGUUCAAGUGCGUAGGCUUGAGAGUUAGGUAAAUCCGGCUCUCUCUAAGGCUGAGACACGACGUCGAGCUACUACGGUAGUGAAGUCAUUGAUGCCAUGCUUCCAGGAAAAGCCUCUAAGCUUCAGAUAGUCAGGAAUCGUACCCCAAACCGACACAGGUGGUCGGGUAGAGAAUACCAAGGCGCUUGAGAGAACUCGGGUGAAGGAACUAGGCAAAAUGGUACCGUAACUUCGGGAGAAGGUACGCUCUUGAUGGUGAAGUCCCUCGCGGAUGGAGCUGACGAGAGUCGCAGAUACCAGGUGGCUGCAACUGUUUAUUAAAAACACAGCACUGUGCAAAAUCGCAAGAUGACGUAUACGGUGUGACGCCUGCCCGGUGCCGGAAGGUUAAUUGAUGGGGUUAGCGCAAGCGAAGCUCUUGAUCGAAGCCCCGGUAAACGGCGGCCGUAACUAUAACGGUCCUAAGGUAGCGAAAUUCCUUGUCGGGUAAGUUCCGACCUGCACGAAUGGCGUAAUGAUGGCCACGCUGUCUCCACCCGAGACUCAGUGAAAUUGAAAUCGCUGUGAAGAUGCAGUGUACCCGCGGCUAGACGGAAAGACCCCGUGAACCUUUACUACAGCUUGGCACUGAACAUUGAACCUACAUGUGUAGGAUAGGUGGGAGGCUAUGAAGACGUGACGCCAGUUGCGUUGGAGCCGUCCUUGAAAUACCACCCUUGUAUGUUUGAUGUUCUAACUUAGACCCAUUAUCUGGGUUGAGGACAGUGCCUGGUGGGUAGUUUGACUGGGGCGGUCUCCUCCCAAAGAGUAACGGAGGAGCACGAAGGUGGGCUAAUCACGGUUGGACAUCGUGAGGUUAGUGCAAUGGCAUAAGCCCGCUUAACUGCGAGAAUGACGGUUCGAGCAGGUGCGAAAGCAGGUCAUAGUGAUCCGGUGGUUCUGUAUGGAAGGGCCAUCGCUCAACGGAUAAAAGGUACUCCGGGGAUAACAGGCUGAUACCGCCCAAGAGUUCAUAUCGACGGCGGUGUUUGGCACUCGAUGUCGGCUCAUCACAUCCUGGGGCUGAAGUCGGUCCCAAGGGUAUGGCUGUUCGCCAUUUAAAGUGGUACGCGAGCUGGGUUUAGAACGUCGUGAGACAGUUCGGUCCCUAUCUGCCGUGGGCGUUGGAAGAUUGAAGGGGGCUGCUCCUAGUACGAGAGGACCGGAGUGGACGAACCUCUGGUGUUCGGGUUGUGUCGCCAGACGCAUUGCCCGGUAGCUAAGUUCGGAAUUGAUAAGCGCUGAAAGCAUCUAAGCGCGAAGCGAGCCCUGAGAUGAGUCUUCCCUGACAGUUUAACUGUCCUAAAGGGUUGUUCGAGACUAGAACGUUGAUAGGCAGGGUGUGUAAGCGUUGUGAGGCGUUGAGCUAACCUGUACUAAUUGCCCGUGAGGCUUAACCAU
Molecule: ribosomal RNA, 2886 nt
Filed under: Vibrio cholerae LMA3984-4
Lineage: Bacteria; Pseudomonadati; Pseudomonadota; Gammaproteobacteria; Vibrionales; Vibrionaceae
Description: LSU rRNA
Rfam family: Bacterial large subunit ribosomal RNA
Source: RNAcentral